This 424-nucleotide long non-coding RNA is filed under the name Phoenix dactylifera (date palm). Its description in RNAcentral is "long non-coding RNA (PDAC_LNC002205)". Lineage: Eukaryota; Viridiplantae; Streptophyta; Magnoliopsida; Arecales; Arecaceae. The record is from RNAcentral.
CGAGUACUACAGUCUCCGCGCCCUCCCGAUGACAAGCCCGGUUGCUGCCAUAUUAUCCCAUCCUCUGACAGUUUAUCACAUACUAACUGCCCUUGUUAUGAGCUCCAAGAACAGACUUAUAAAGGGAAAAGAAGUGAUUGUGCAUUACCUUGGCCCUGCAGGGGAGCUAGAUUGGAUGCCUGCUUUCUUAGAGAUCACCCAUUUGCUGAAUGGAUCAGGUAACAUGCAGAUAGUCAUGAUUGGGCCAGAGGUUCCAAGUAAUCUAUCAGGGACGGUGUCAGGGAUCAGUGGUAGAUUGAGAGUGAACUUGGUGAGAGGCAUCUAUCAGGAACAGGCCUCGUACCUUUCGUCGCCUCAUGCUGUCAUUGCUCUGAACUGUGGGUUGGAGAGCUAUGGGAGCUGGGGUGGUGCUCUUGAGUUGAUU